UAAUACCCCAUAUGCCUAAGGGUGAAAAGAGAUUUGCCUGAAAAUGAGCUCGCGUCACAUUAUCUAGUUGGUGGGGUAAGGGCCUACCAAGGCGACGAUCUGUAGCUGGUCUGAGAGGAUGAUCAGCCACACUGGGACUGAGACACGGCCCAGACUCCUACGGGAGGCAGCAGUGGGGAAUUUUCCGCAAUGGGCGAAAGCCUGACGGAGCAAGACCGCGUGAGGGAUGAAGGCCUAAUGGUUGUAAACCUCUUUUCUCUAGGAAGAUGAUGACGGUACUAGAGGAAUCAGCCUCGGCUAACUCCGUGCCAGCAGCCGCGGUAAUACGGAGGAGGCAAGCGUUAUCCGGAAUUAUUGGGCGUAAAGCGUCCGUAGGUGGUUGAACAAGUCAGUUGUUAAAGAGUGGGGCUUAACCCUAUAGAGGCGAUUGAAACUGUUUAACUAGAGUUAGGUAGGGGUUACGGGAAUUCCCAGUGUAGCGGUGAAAUGCGUAGAUAUUGGGAAGAACACCGGUGGCGAAAGCGCGUGACUGGGCCU
Molecule: ribosomal RNA, 537 nt
Filed under: uncultured Leptolyngbya sp.
Lineage: Bacteria; Bacillati; Cyanobacteriota; Cyanophyceae; Leptolyngbyales; Leptolyngbyaceae
Description: bacterial SSU rRNA
Rfam family: Bacterial small subunit ribosomal RNA
Source: RNAcentral